RNAcentral lists this ribosomal RNA (876 nucleotides) under uncultured bacterium. Its description in RNAcentral is "bacterial SSU rRNA". It matches the Rfam family "Bacterial small subunit ribosomal RNA", at positions 28 to 896 of the family's 1533-position model. The record is from RNAcentral.
GAUGAACGCUAGCGAUAGGCCUAACACAUGCAAGUCGAGGGGCAGCACGGGAGUAGCAAUACAACUGGUGGCGACCGGCGCACGGGUGAGUAACGCGUAUGUAAUCUACCUACAACAGGGGGAUAACCCGGAGAAAUCCGGACUAAUACCGCAUAAAACAGGGGUCCCGCCUGGGACUAUUUGUUAAAGAUUUAUCGGUUGUAGAUGAGCAUGCGUUCCAUUAGAUAGUUGGUAAGGUAACGGCUUACCAAGUCAGCGAUGGAUAGGGGAACUGAGAGGUUUGUCCCCCACACUGGAACUGAGACACGGACCAGACUCCUACGGGAGGCAGCAGUGAGGAAUAUUGGUCAAUGGGCGAGAGCCUGAACCAGCCAAAUCGCGUGAAGGAAGACUGCCUUAUGGGUUGUAAACUUCUUUUACAGGGGAAUAAAAAGACAUACGAGUAUGUCAUUGCAUGUACCCUGUGAAUAAGCAUCGGCUAACUCCGUGCCAGCAGCCGCGGUAAUACGGAGGAUGCGAGCGUUAUCCGGAUUUAUUGGGUUUAAAGGGUGCGCAGGCGGGAUUUUAAGUCAGCGGUGAAAUACCAACGCUCAACGUUGGAACUGCCGUUGAAACUGGGAUUCUUGAGUAUAGAUGAAGUAGGCGGAAUUCGUUGUGUAGCGGUGACAUGCAUAGAUAUAACGAGGAACUCCGAUUGCGUAGGCAGCUUACUAAACUAUAACUGACGCUCAAGCACGAAAGCGUGGGGAUCAAACAGGAUUAGAUACCCUGGUAGUCCACGCCGUAAACGAUGAUUACUAGUUGUAUGCGAUAUGAUAGUAUGUGACUAAGCGAAAGCGAUAAGUAAUCCACCUGGGGAGUACGCCGGCAACGGUG